Molecule: ribosomal RNA, 500 nt
Filed under: uncultured bacterium
Lineage: Bacteria
Description: partial 16S ribosomal RNA
Rfam family: Bacterial small subunit ribosomal RNA
Source: RNAcentral
AUUGAACGCUGGCGGCAUGCCUUACACAUGCAAGUCGAACGGCAGCACGGGAGCAAUCCUGGUGGCGAGUGGCGAACGGGUGAGUAAAGUAUCGGAACGUGCCCAGUCGUGGGGGAUAACGUAGCGAAAGUUACGCUACUACCGCAUACGAUCUAUGAAUGAAAGAGGGGGAUCGCAAGACCCUGCGCGAUUGGAGCGGCCGAAAUCAGAUUAGGUAAUUGGUGGGGUAAAGGCUGACCAAGCCGACGAUCUGUAGCUGGUCUGAGAGGACGACCAGCCACACUGGGACUGAGACACGGCCCAGACUCCUACGGGAGGCAGCAGUGGGGAAUUUUGGACAAUGGGCGAAAGCCUGAUCCAGCCAUGCCGCGUGCAGGAUGAAGGCCUUCGGGUUGUAAACUGCUUUUGUACGGAACGAAAAGGUUUGGCCUAAUAAGCUGAGCUCAUGACGGUACCGUAAGAAUAAGCACCGGCUAACUACGUGCCAGCAGCCGCCGUAA